AUUAAGGUGGCAGAGCCGGUAAUUGCAUAAAACUUAAGCCUUUAUAACCAGAGGUUCAAAUCCUCUCCUUAAUA
This 74-nucleotide transfer RNA is filed under the name Dendrolagus dorianus (Doria's tree kangaroo). Its description in RNAcentral is "tRNA-Leu". It matches the Rfam family "tRNA". Rfam says of the family: Transfer RNA (tRNA) molecules are approximately 80 nucleotides in length. Their secondary structure includes four short double-helical elements and three loops (D, anti-codon, and T loops). Further hydrogen bonds mediate the characteristic L-shaped molecular structure. tRNAs have two regions of fundamental functional importance: the anti-codon, which is responsible for specific mRNA codon recognition, and the 3' end, to which the tRNAs corresponding amino acid is attached (by aminoacyl-tRNA synthetases). tRNAs cope with the degeneracy of the genetic code in two manners: having more than one tRNA (with a specific anti-codon) for a particular amino acid; and 'wobble' base-pairing, i.e. permitting non-standard base-pairing at the 3rd anti-codon position. RNAcentral also lists the same sequence under 2 other names. The record is from RNAcentral. Lineage: Eukaryota; Metazoa; Chordata; Mammalia; Diprotodontia; Macropodidae.